CAAUAGCGUAUAUUAAAGUUGUUGCAGUUAGAACGCUCGUAGUCGGAUUUCGGGGCGUUCCGACCGGUCUGCCGAUGGGUAUGCACUGGCCGGAGUGUCCUUUUUGCCGGAGACCGUGCCUACUCUUAACUGAGCGGGGGCGGGAGACGGCACUUUUACUUUGAAAAAAUCAGAGUGUUUCAAGCAGGCAGCUCGCUCUUGCAUGGAUUAGCAUGGGAUAAUGAAGUAGGACUUUGGUGCUAUUUUGUUGGUUUCGAACACCGAAGUAAUGAUGAGAAGGGACAGUCAGGGGCACUCGUAUUCCGCAGAGAGAGGUGAAAUUCUCAGACCCGCGGAAGACGAACCACUGCGAAAGCAUUUGCCAGGGAUGUUUUCACUGA
This 380-nucleotide ribosomal RNA is filed under the name uncultured eukaryote. RNAcentral describes it as "partial 18S ribosomal RNA". It matches the Rfam family "Eukaryotic small subunit ribosomal RNA", at positions 592 to 976 of the family's 1831-position model. The record is from RNAcentral.